AUUGAACGCUGGCGGCAUGCCUUACACAUGCAAGUCGAACGGUAACGGGCCUUCGGGUGCCGACGAGUGGCGCGCGGGUGAGUAAUACAUCGGAACGUGCCCGAUCGUGGGGGAUAACGAGGCGAAAGCUUUGCUAAUACCGCAUACGAUCUACGGAUGAAAGCAGGGGACCGCAAGGCCUUGCGCGGACGGAGCGGCCGAUGGCAGAUUAGGUAGUUGGUGGGAUAAAAGCUUACCAAGCCGACGAUCUGUAGCUGGUCUGAGAGGAUGAUCAGCCACACUGGGACUGAGACACGGCCCAGACUCCUACGGGAGGCAGCAGUGGGGAAUUUUGGACAAUGGGCGCAAGCCUGAUCCAGCCAUGCCGCGUGCAGGAUGAGGGCCUUCGGGUUGUAAACUGCUUUUGUACGGAACGAAAAGCCUUCUUUUAAUACAGGAGGGUCAUGACGGUACCGUAAGAAUAAGCACCGGCUAACUACGUG
This 482-nucleotide ribosomal RNA is filed under the name uncultured bacterium. RNAcentral's name for it is "partial 16S ribosomal RNA". It matches the Rfam family "Bacterial small subunit ribosomal RNA", at positions 30 to 507 of the family's 1533-position model. The record is from RNAcentral.